UGUCGAAAGACUGUGAACUCUUCACACUCCGGAUGGGAGAGGGGCGGAAACAUCCCGAAAACCGCACGAAAUAGCCUUUUUAAGGGAUCUUGGUCGCAAUGCAAUAACGACUGUUUUAAACGUAUACACUGAAGACCAGCAGAAAAGAAUGACCACGAACCCGAGGAGGGAACGGCAGAGGUUUCGGACGCUGCCGCGGGAAGGUUACUGGAAGUUACUCUCCAGAGCAACCCCUCUCAAAAAUACAAAUACCUGGAGGCAGAACCCAAGAUAUUAGGGGUACACGUGAGGUUGAUAUCGGAGUAGAGUACAAUGUAGUCUCAAAUAAAUCUACUGAUGAGUUUUAGGUCUCAUCCACAGGUGACCGAGUAGAUAUUUUAAAUUAUCUACUAAUUUUAUAUUUAAAGGUAGAAUUUCUGAUAUUAUAAAUGUUUCAGCAUUUCUCUAGAAAAAUAUCCACAGUAAAAUAUACCACAAUGUUUUCUUUAAACAGGGCAUUAUUUCUGGCGGUGUAAAGCGAUAGCAGCGCAGAAGCUUCAUCUGCAGACAGUAGCCUAAGUCGGGCUACUGGACACAGCAAAAACUAUGAAAUAUCAUUAAAAAAUAUCUAUCAUGCAUGCUAUUUCUAUGUCCAGAAUGUACCCCCUAAAUUUCUGAGUACCCACUCAGAAUGUUUCGCUGAAGAGGCACUUAGAAAUAAGCUCUUGAGUGUGUGUGUCUGUCGUUUUGUUUCUCAACAGCUCAAGGCUUGUUGGUGGUCACAUGUGUGGCAUAGAAUUCACAUUUUUGAUGUGAAAUAUUCCUUUAAGCUAAACGUGAAAACAUCAUUAUUUUGGCAUACACACUACAACCAUGCUAUUAAUGUAUCAAUAUUUUUUUUUGCAUUGAACUGAAGCUAAUAAAGUUCACGUUCACCCACUGA
This is a long non-coding RNA of Cyprinus carpio (common carp), 922 nucleotides long. RefSeq lists it as uncharacterized. NCBI's taxonomy places the organism in Eukaryota, Metazoa, Chordata, Actinopteri, Cypriniformes, Cyprinidae. The record is from RefSeq and is a predicted model, not a curated record.